Cornus florida is the source of this 3533-nucleotide RNA transcript. It is a transcript of the gene named disease resistance protein RPM1-like, with no coding region annotated. NCBI's taxonomy places the organism in Eukaryota, Viridiplantae, Streptophyta, Magnoliopsida, Cornales, Cornaceae. The transcript is spliced from 2 exons. The record is from RefSeq and is a predicted model, not a curated record.
ACUAAAAAAGAAUAAUGUAAAAAAAACGAUGUAUGGUGUAACUAUAGUACUUGUAUGCCUGUAUAUAUGUAUUAAUUUUUUUUACUUUUACCCAACUGAAGACUCAGUCAGUGAAAGUGUACCGUCAACAGUGUCUAUGGCCCUUUCAUGCAUUCACACACACACACACACACACAAAAAAUAGAAGAAUACAAAUGCUUUGUCAUUCAUACCAAAAAAAACCAUGGAGAGGCAAUCUUGUAUAAUCUAAAAGUUCAGAGGUAGAAAAUAACACACAACACAGAGAGAGAGAUAUGGCUGCGGAGGCUGUCUACUUUCUACUCAAUAAACUUGAAAUUUGGCUAGAGGCAGAAUGGAACUUGCCAGCAAAGAUUAAUAUGGGCGUUGAAAGCUUGAGAGGUGAAUUCGAAACCAUUAGCGCACUUCUGAAGGAUGCUGAUACAAAAAGAGAGCACAAUCACCAAGUCAGUGUCUGGCUUCAACAAGUCCGAGAUGGAGCUUAUGACAUAGAGGAUGUUCUUGACAUUUUAAAGUUUCACAUGGCUCAACAGUAUAUUAUCCGCAACCUUGGGUUCCUCACCCGAUGGAGAGCACGCCACUCCAUCAACGAAGUAAUUGAAGAGAUUGAUAUGAAACUCAGAAGCAUCAAAGAGUCAAGGGAGAGAUAUCAUAACAUCAGUUCCUCCCAAACCUCAAGUUCAAUUACUCGAAACGACACAUUCCUUCAUCCAAGAAUAGCUUCUCUGUUUGCCGAGGACACUGAUAUUGUGGGGAUUGAAGAACCUAAGCAGAAACUGGUUUCUUGGGCACUAGGAGGGAGGCAUAGUCUCGAGGUGAUGUUUGUAGUUGGGAUGGGAGGAUCGGGCAAAACAACUCUUGUUAAGAAAGUGUUCGAGAGGGUGAAGGAUGAAGGAUUUGAGUGCCAUGCUUGGAUCACUGUUUCAAGGUCAAGAAAGGAACCGGAGAUCUUAUGGAGGAUGUUCAACGAAUUCUGCAUUCAAACAGUCGAGUCAACUCCCCAGAGGUUCUCCAACAUCAACGAGAUUGACCUGGUUGACAUAACCAAAAAACUAAGGGAGCAUCUACAAAACAAAAGGUACGUUGUAGUCCUUGAUGAUCUGUGGAUUAAAGAUGUUUGGGAAACCAUUAGAAUUGCAUUACCUGGAGGUAAUCACAGUAGAAUAAUUGUCACUACGCGAAGAGGCGAUAUAGCUUGUUCAUGUAGAGAUAACUCUAUUGGUGUCCAUAACAUCCAGCCUCUUCCUAUGGAAAAGGCUCAACAACUCUUUUAUAAGAAGGCUUUCCCAGAAAGGGGUACAUGCCCUUUAGGGUUGGAGGGCUGGUCCCAAAUAAUCUUAACAAAAUGCGAAGGAUUGCCACUUGCAAUCAUUGAACUAGGUCAAAUUCUGUCAAAUAGAGAGAAAUCUGAAUCAGUAUGGAAAAGAUUGCUUGAAAGCCUUGGAUCGGAGUUGAGCAGAAAUGGCCGUCUUUCAAAUACCAUGAGAGUACUAUCUCUAAGUUACAUUGACUUGCCAUACCAUCUCAAGUAUUGUUUUCUAUACUUAACCAUUUUCCCUGAGAAUAAUUAUCUAGUUAGGUGUAGAGUAUUGAUUCGGCUGUGGAUUGCAGAGGGUUUUAUAAUAGCACAAACUGGCAAAGAACUUGAAGACAUUGGAGAGGAGUACCUAAAAGAACUUACCGACAGGAACUUGAUACAAAGUGAAUUAGAUUUUGAUGGGAAGCCAAAAACUUGUCGGGUACAUAAUCUCAUGCAUAAGAUUAUUCUCUCAAAGUCAAGAGAGGAGAAUUUUUGUAAAGUAUUUUCAGAAUCACAAAGAAACUUUGGUGACAGGUACCGUCGAUUAUCUAUCCAAAGUGGUGCACUCAAAAUGUUGCAUAGGAACUUUAAUCGUGUUCGCACCCUUUUUAUGUUCAAUGUACCCUACAGCUCCGUUACAGACUUGAAAUUAUUGAGAGUUCUUCAUCUGGAAGGAGCACCAUUGGAGACAUUUCCUAAGAAAAUUGUGAAUUUACUGCUCUUGAAGUAUCUGUGUUUGAGUAAGACCAAUAUCAAAAGCAUUCCCAAGUCUCUGGGGAAUCUUAGGUACUUAGAGACCUUGGAUCUUAAGCAAACUAGAGUGGUAAAGCUGCCCAAAGAAGUCCUCAAACUUGAGAAACUUCGGCAUUUGAUUGUUUGUCGCUAUGAUAUACAACAUUAUACCACUUUUGAUUGUGUUAAAGGAUUCGAGGUAUCAGCAGAGAUCCAGACACCUAAUUUACAGCAACUAUCAUUCAUAAAGGCAAAUAAGCAUCACAAAGUGAUUCACGGGCUAGGAAAUCUGACACAACUAAGAAAGUUGGGGGUCAUUGAUCUUCCAAGAGAAGAUGGGUCAAAAUUGUGCGAGUCAAUUGAGCAGCUGCGAAACCUCUAUUCCUUGAAUGUAACAUCAUUACAAAAGGAUGAGGCUGUAGAUCUACAAGCAAUUACCAAUCCUCCACCACUUCUUCAACGCCUGUAUCUGAAAGGGCGGUUAGAAAGGUUACCAAUUUGGAUUUCCAGACUUCAUGACCUCGUAAGGAUACAUCUCAAGUGGUCCAAGUUAACACACUACAACAACCCCAUUGAUAUCCUUCAAGAUCUUCCUCGCCUUUUGGAGCUCCAGCUGGUCGAUGCCUAUACUGGAAACCAGUUAGAUUUCUCAAAAAACAAAUUUCAAAGUCUGAAGAUCUUGGAACUUGAGCAAUUGGAACCAUUGACAAUGGUCAAAAUGCAAAAGACUACCUUACCUCGUCUCCAAAAGCUGAUCAUAAGGCAGUGCGGUAACUUGCAUCAGGUUCCAUUGGGAAUUGACAACCUCACUCACCUCAAAGAGCUUCACUUGUAUGAUAUGCCCAACAGAUUUGUGGCCCAGCUCAAGAAUGGUGGAGCAUUGUGUAAUCUGGUUCGCCAUAUCCCAAACAUCCAAUGUUAUUACCUCGAGAGGAAUUGGGUGCCAGAAGAUCUCAAUCUCAUGGCUCAUCCUAUCUGAUUCGUAGUCCGAGUCUACAGUGGGAGCACGUACACAGUGAUCAGGUCAGCAUAACCACAAUCCAGUUAGGGUAAGGAUUCACGCAAUGGUGGUUUUUAUAUCAAAGUACGUUUUAUCCGCUUCACACACUCGGUGCUUAGUUUGAUUAACCAAAUUUAUUCCACAGGGUGAGAAAAAUGCAAAAGGCAGGUAUUCUCCAUUGUAGAUGAUGGAUGUGAUGCAUUUUCAUAUAACCGAGAUGAUGCCAAUAAAUCAGAAACAGAGACAACAGACAAAUGAAAAGUUGUGGCACCACUCAAUGAUGUAUAAGAUCUAGCUAAUAACAAUUAAAUGAUAUUUCAUUGUUGAACUUCUUAAAUUUAUUGUAUUUGGAUUACGGACGACUGUAAUUGAUUUGGGUUUGGAGUCCUCUGUCUUCUUUGAAUAGAGGUUUGGAGUCAUUUUUGGUGUAAACUGAUUGUUCACUUUGGAUGAUUCAUUAAUCAAAGUUAUUUUUCAUCAAAA